GUGGGGAAUCUUGCGCAAUGGGCGAAAGCCUGACGCAGCCAUGCCGCGUGAAUGAUGAAGGUCUUAGGAUUGUAAAAUUCUUUCACCGGGGACGAUAAUGACGGUACCCGGAGAAGAAGCCCCGGCUAACUUCGUGCCAGCAGCCGCGGUAAUACGGAGGGUGCAAGCGUUAUCCGGAUUCACUGGGUUUAAAGGGUGCGUAGGCGGAUAAAUAAGUCAGUGGUGAAAUCAACGGGAUCAACCUGUUAACUGCCAUUGAUACUGUGUAGUUUGAAUAUGAGAGAGGUAGGCGGAAUGUUGCAUGUAGCGGUGAAAUGCUUAGAUAUGCUACGGAACACCGAUUGCGAAGGCAGCUUACUAUUUCGUAAUUGACGCUGAGGCACGAAAGCGUGGGUAGCGAACAGGAUUAGAAACCCUUGUAGUCC
RNAcentral lists this ribosomal RNA (425 nucleotides) under uncultured bacterium. RNAcentral's name for it is "partial 16S ribosomal RNA". It matches the Rfam family "Bacterial small subunit ribosomal RNA", at positions 354 to 796 of the family's 1533-position model. The record is from RNAcentral.